AGUGAACGCUGGCGGUAGGCCUAACACAUGCAAGUCGAACGGCAGCACAGUAAGAGCUUGCUCUUACGGGUGGCGAGUGGCGGACGGGUGAGGAAUACAUCGGAAUCUACUUUUUCGUGGGGGAUAACGUAGGGAAACUUACGCUAAUACCGCAUACGACCUACGGGUGAAAGCAGGGGAUCUUCGGACCUUGCGCGAAUGAACGCGCCGAUGUCGGAUUAGCUAGUUGGCGGGGUAAAGGCCCACCCAGGCGGCGAUCCGCAGCUGGUCUGAGUGGAUGGUCGGCCGCAUUAGAACGGGAACACGCACCUUACUCCUACGGGACGCAGCAGUGUGGAAUAUUAGACAAUAGUCGCAAACCUGAUCCAGCCAGAGCGCGUGGGUGAUGAAGACCUUCGGGUUGUGAAGACGUUUUGUUGGGAAAGAAAAGCAGCAGGUUGUUACCCCGCUGUUCUGACGGUACCCAAUAAAUAAGCACCGGCUAACUACGUG
This 492-nucleotide ribosomal RNA is filed under the name uncultured bacterium. RNAcentral describes it as "partial 16S ribosomal RNA". It matches the Rfam family "Bacterial small subunit ribosomal RNA", at positions 29 to 507 of the family's 1533-position model. The record is from RNAcentral.